AAUCGUCUUCAUAUUAUCGACCUCUACGGCAAAGAUCCGAACUAUAAAAUCUUUUUUUUUUUUGUUAAAUGGGGUUGGUAAUCCAAUGUGAACUAUGAACUUAGAUAUUAGUGGAAUCACAUAAGAAAACAUAUUUUAAGGUGAUGAUUGUUUGUUUGGUUUCUAGAUUUUAGAUUUUGGUUUUUGGUUUUUAGUUUUUGGUUUUUGGUUUUUAGAUUUUGGUUUUUGAUUUUGCAGUAGAUUUUAGUUUCUUGAAAAACAUGAAUGGUGAUUUUAGAUUUUAGAUUUUAGUUUUUGGUUUUUAGUUUUUACUUAUAAAAUAAUGAAAUGAAAAUAUUAUCAGUAGUAAAAUAUUUAUUCCAAAA
RNAcentral lists this long non-coding RNA (365 nucleotides) under Brassica rapa (field mustard). Its description in RNAcentral is "long non-coding RNA (BRAP_LNC001328)". Lineage: Eukaryota; Viridiplantae; Streptophyta; Magnoliopsida; Brassicales; Brassicaceae. The record is from RNAcentral.